Molecule: non-coding RNA, 117 nt
Organism: Solanum tuberosum (potato)
Lineage: Eukaryota; Viridiplantae; Streptophyta; Magnoliopsida; Solanales; Solanaceae
Product: microRNA MIR8024a
Exons: 1
Source: RefSeq, marked provisional
UUGAAGAAUUUAAAGACUUCAACUUGCAUACUUGGAGGAUUUGAAGACGUCAUCUUGCAUACUUGGAGGAUUUGAAGACUUAAACUUGCAUAUUUGGAGGAUUUGAAGAUUUCAACU